CAGUAGCCGCGGGAAUACGUAGGUGGCAAGCGUUGUCCGGAAUUAUUGGGCGUAAAGGGCUCGCAGGCGGUUUCUUAAGUCUGAUGUGAAAGCCCCCGGCUCAACCGGGGAGGGUCAUUGGAAACUGGGAAACUUGAGUGCAGAAGAGGAGAGUGGAAUUCCACGUGUAGCGGUGAAAUGCGUAGAGAUGUGGAGGAACACCAGUGGCGAAGGCGACUCUCUGGUCUGUAACUGAUGCUGAGGAGCGAAAGCGUGGGGAGCGAACAGGAUUAGAUACCCCUGUAGUCCCUGUCUCUUAUAC
Molecule: ribosomal RNA, 301 nt
Filed under: uncultured bacterium
Lineage: Bacteria
Description: partial 16S ribosomal RNA
Rfam family: Bacterial small subunit ribosomal RNA
Source: RNAcentral